RNAcentral lists this ribosomal RNA (1646 nucleotides) under Escherichia coli. RNAcentral's name for it is "partial 23S ribosomal RNA". It matches the Rfam family "Bacterial large subunit ribosomal RNA", at positions 1291 to 2915 of the family's 2925-position model. Lineage: Bacteria; Pseudomonadati; Pseudomonadota; Gammaproteobacteria; Enterobacterales; Enterobacteriaceae. The record is from RNAcentral.
CGAAUGCUGACAUAAGUAACGAUAAAGCGGGUGAAAAGCCCGCUCGCCGGAAGACCAAGGGUUCCUGUCCAACGUUAAUCGGGGCAGGGUGAGUCGACCCCUAAGGCGAGGCCGAAAGGCGUAGUCGAUGGGAAACAGGUUAAUAUUCCUGUACUUGGUGUUACUGCGAAGGGGGGACGGAGAAGGCUAUGUUGGCCGGGCGACGGUUGUCCCGGUUUAAGCGUGUAGGCUGGUUUUCCAGGCAAAUCCGGAAAAUCAAGGCUGAGGCGUGAUGACGAGGCACUACGGUGCUGAAGCAACAAAUGCCCUGCUUCCAGGAAAAGCCUCUAAGCAUCAGGUAACAUCAAAUCGUACCCCAAACCGACACAGGUGGUCAGGUAGAGAAUACCAAGGCGCUUGAGAGAACUCGGGUGAAGGAACUAGGCAAAAUGGUGCCGUAACUUCGGGAGAAGGCACGCUGAUAUGUAGGUGAAGCGACUUGCUCGUGGAGCUGAAAUCAGUCGAAGAUACCAGCUGGCUGCAACUGUUUAUUAAAAACACAGCACUGUGCAAACACGAAAGUGGACGUAUACGGUGUGACGCCUGCCCGGUGCCGGAAGGUUAAUUGAUGGGGUUAGCGGUAACGCGAAGCUCUUGAUCGAAGCCCCGGUAAACGGCGGCCGUAACUAUAACGGUCCUAAGGUAGCGAAAUUCCUUGUCGGGUAAGUUCCGACCUGCACGAAUGGCGUAAUGAUGGCCAGGCUGUCUCCACCCGAGACUCAGUGAAAUUGAACUCGCUGUGAAGAUGCAGUGUACCCGCGGCAAGACGGAAAGACCCCGUGAACCUUUACUAUAGCUUGACACUGAACAUUGAGCCUUGAUGUGUAGGAUAGGUGGGAGGCUUUGAAGUGUGGACGCCAGUCUGCAUGGAGCCGGCCUUGAAAUACCACCCUUUAAUGUUUGAUGUUCUAACGUUGGCCCCUGAUCGGGGUUGCGGACAGUGUCUGGUGGGUAGUUUGACUGGGGCGGUCUCCUCCUAAAGAGUAACGGAGGAGCACGAAGGUUGGCUAAUCCUGGUCGGACAUCAGGAGGUUAGUGCAAUGGCAUAAGCCAGCUUGACUGCGAGCGUGACGGCGCGAGCAGGUGCGAAAGCAGGUCAUAGUGAUCCGGUGGUUCUGAAUGGAAGGGCCAUCGCUCAACGGAUAAAAGGUACUCCGGGGAUAACAGGCUGAUACCGCCCAAGAGUUCAUAUCGACGGCGGUGUUUGGCACCUCGAUGUCGGCUCAUCACAUCCUGGGGCUGAAGUAGGUCCCAAGGGUAUGGCUGUUCGCCAUUUAAAGUGGUACGCGAGCUGGGUUUAGAACGUCGUGAGACAGUUCGGUCCCUAUCUGCCGUGGGCGCUGGAGAACUGAGGGGGGCUGCUCCUAGUACGAGAGGACCGGAGUGGACGCAUCACUGGUGUUCGGGUUGUCAUGCCAAUGGCACUGCCCGGUAGCUAAAUGCGGAAGAGAUAAGUGCUGAAAGCAUCUAAGCACGAAACUUGCCCCGAGAUGAGUUCUCCCUGAGACUUUAAGUCUCCUGAAGGAACGUUGAAGACGACGACGUUGAUAGGCCGGGUGUGUAAGCGCAGCGAUGCGUUGAGCUAACCGGUACUAAUGAACCGUGAG